RNAcentral lists this transfer RNA (81 nucleotides) under Termitinemataceae bacterium. RNAcentral's name for it is "tRNA-Leu". It matches the Rfam family "tRNA". Rfam says of the family: Transfer RNA (tRNA) molecules are approximately 80 nucleotides in length. Their secondary structure includes four short double-helical elements and three loops (D, anti-codon, and T loops). Further hydrogen bonds mediate the characteristic L-shaped molecular structure. tRNAs have two regions of fundamental functional importance: the anti-codon, which is responsible for specific mRNA codon recognition, and the 3' end, to which the tRNAs corresponding amino acid is attached (by aminoacyl-tRNA synthetases). tRNAs cope with the degeneracy of the genetic code in two manners: having more than one tRNA (with a specific anti-codon) for a particular amino acid; and 'wobble' base-pairing, i.e. permitting non-standard base-pairing at the 3rd anti-codon position. Lineage: Bacteria; Pseudomonadati; Spirochaetota; Spirochaetia; Spirochaetales; Termitinemataceae. The record is from RNAcentral.
GCGAGAGUGGUGGAAUGGCAGACACGCUAGUCUUAGGAACUAGUGCCGCGAGGCUUGGGGGUUCAAGUCCCCCCUCUCGCA